Long non-coding RNA from Ochotona princeps (American pika), 426 nucleotides. RefSeq lists it as uncharacterized. The record is from RefSeq and is a predicted model, not a curated record. NCBI's taxonomy places the organism in Eukaryota, Metazoa, Chordata, Mammalia, Lagomorpha, Ochotonidae. The transcript has 3 exons.
ACUGAACCUGACAGGUUGCUAUGAUAUUUAUUUGAAGUUAAAAAUAAAAAUCACAGACAAUCUAACCACUGAAUUAUAUAUGAGCAAAAGUCUGGCUUAGAAGAAGCUUGGAGUAGAUCACAAGCACAUGCAGUUCUAGUCACCACCAUGCUAGGUUUUCAAGUUCAGCAAGAAGUUGAAACUCACCAAUCAGAGGCACAUUUUCAGACGCCGGCAUGAUCUCAGCCACCAUCAGCUGGAAUACAGUCAUGGCCAACAGGAUGGUCACUCCCAAAGAGACCUUCUCCCCCGAGGCUGCCGGUAGGUCCAGGAACCGAAGGUCAGGUUACACUGCUGGUUGUCGAAGGGGAAGUAGGUGACAUCUACCACGCAGGAGCUCUUGGUGAUGGCAGGUGAGUCCCAGGUGAUGAGCCCAUCAUAGCGCAG